Triticum aestivum (bread wheat) is the source of this 980-nucleotide RNA transcript. It is a transcript of the gene named 17.4 kDa class I heat shock protein-like, with no coding region annotated. The record is from RefSeq and is a predicted model, not a curated record. The transcript has a single exon. NCBI's taxonomy places the organism in Eukaryota, Viridiplantae, Streptophyta, Magnoliopsida, Poales, Poaceae.
AGUCCAGAAGCUGCUGGUGUCUUCUCCAUGAGUCCGGACCAAACCAAAUCCGUCCCAAACGACGAACGCAAUCCAGUGGCCUCGAGUCUUCAGGAGAAGACGAGAGAAUUCUCCAGAAGCUUGUUUUCUCCUUUUUCUCCAUACAAUCCCCAGCCCUCUAUAAAUUCUCCCGUUCCGACCGACAGAAACCCAAGAAAGUCUGAACAAAAGCACCGAUCAAAGAACGAUCCCUCCCAAAUCAAUCGCUCACCCUUCCGCUUCCUAACACCAGCUAAAUCGUCGAUUCCUUCGACCAGCAGCUCGAAUCCCCACCGACAAUGUCGCUGAUCCGUCGCACCAACGUGUUGGACCCCUUCUCCCUCGACCUCUGGGACCCCUUCGACGGCUUCCCCUUCGGCUCCGGCGGCAGCGGCAGCCUCGUCCCGCGCACCUCCUCUGACACGGCGGCCUUCGCCAGCGCGCGGAUUGACUGGAAGGAGACGCCCGAGGCGCACGUGUUCAAGGCGGACGUGCCGGGGCUGAAGAAGGAGGAGGUGAAGGUGGAGGUGGAGGACGGCAACAUCCUCCAGAUAGCGGCGAGCGGAACAAGGAGCAGGAGGAGAAGACGGACACCUGGCACCGCGUGGAGCGCAGCAGCGGCAAGUUCCUGCGCAGGUUCCGGCUCCCGGAGAACGCCAAGGCGGAGCAGGUGAAGGCGUCCAUGGAGAACAGCGUGCUCACCGUCACCGUGCCCAAGGAGGAGGCCAAGAAGCCCGAGGUCAAGUCCAUCCAGAUCUCCGGCGCGAUGAGAUGGACUGCAGUCUGCAGAGCAGUGGUGUGGAGUUUCGCCCGGUCGUCGCGAUGAAAUAAAAUCAGUCAGGCUGUCUAGUGCUCUAAUCUUGUGUGCGAAUGGUCCGAUGUUGCAGUCAGUGUUUCGAGUCUGUCGCGUCUGUGUUCGAGUCCACCUUGUUCAUCAGCAACAAAGUAAAUCCAUUACCUUC